UGGGGGAAUUUUGGACAAUGGGCGAAAGCCUGAUCCAGCAAUGCCGCGUGUGUGAAGAAGGCCUUCGGGUUGUAAACACUUUUGUCCGGAAAGAAAUCCUUGGCUCUAAUACAGUCGGGGGAUGACGGUACCGGAAGAAUAAGCACCGGCUAACUACGUGCCAGCAGCCNCGGUAAUACGUAGGGUGCAAGCGUUAAUCGGAAUUACUGGGCGUAAAGCGUGCGCAGGCGGUUUGCUAAGACCGAUGUGAAAUCCCCGGGCUCAACCUGGGAACUGCAUUGGUGACUGGCAGGCUAGAGUAUGGCAGAGGGGGGUAGAAUUCCACGUGUAGCAGUGAAAAUGCGUAGAGAUGUGGAGGAAUACCGAUGGCGAAGGCAGCCCCCUGGGCAAAUACUGACGCUCAUGCACG
This 409-nucleotide ribosomal RNA is filed under the name uncultured bacterium. Its description in RNAcentral is "partial 16S ribosomal RNA". It matches the Rfam family "Bacterial small subunit ribosomal RNA", at positions 354 to 755 of the family's 1533-position model. The record is from RNAcentral.